Oryctolagus cuniculus (rabbit) is the source of this 135-nucleotide small nucleolar RNA. Lineage: Eukaryota; Metazoa; Chordata; Mammalia; Lagomorpha; Leporidae. The record is from Ensembl.
GGCCUCCUGGUGCUUACCACAGGCUGUGUUCUUACACUGACUGUAUAGAAGGAGGAGGCAGAGCAGGCCCUCCCCAUGUACACCUCAGCUCUGGCCUCAUCGUGCCUGGGCUGUAUUGUGAGUGGGGGGACAAGG